This 46-nucleotide non-coding RNA is filed under the name Schistosoma mattheei. The record is from RNAcentral. Lineage: Eukaryota; Metazoa; Platyhelminthes; Trematoda; Strigeidida; Schistosomatidae.
GCACUGCUGAAGAGUUCAACAAUAGAACGAAACAGCUGUUCAGUGU